RNAcentral lists this ribosomal RNA (2921 nucleotides) under Bacillus cereus. RNAcentral's name for it is "bacterial LSU rRNA". It matches the Rfam family "Bacterial large subunit ribosomal RNA". RNAcentral also lists the same sequence under 2 other names. The record is from RNAcentral. Lineage: Bacteria; Bacillati; Bacillota; Bacilli; Caryophanales; Bacillaceae.
UUAAGUUAGAAAGGGCGCACGGUGGAUGCCUUGACACUAGGAGUCGAUGAAGGACGGGACUAACGCCGAUAUGCUUCGGGGAGCUGUAAGUAAGCUUUGAUCCGAAGAUUUCCGAAUGGGGAAACCCACCAUACGUAAUGGUAUGGUAUCCUUAUCUGAAUACAUAGGGUAAGGAAGACAGACCCAGGGAACUGAAACAUCUAAGUACCUGGAGGAAGAGAAAGCAAAUGCGAUUUCCUGAGUAGCGGCGAGCGAAACGGAACAUAGCCCAAACCAAGAGGCUUGCCUCUUGGGGUUGUAGGACAUUCUAUACGGAGUUACAAAGGAACGAGGUAGACGAAGCGACCUGGAAAGGUCCGUCGUAGAGGGUAACAACCCCGUAGUCGAAACUUCGUUCUCUCUUGAAUGUAUCCUGAGUACGGCGGAACACGUGAAAUUCCGUCGGAAUCUGGGAGGACCAUCUCCCAAGGCUAAAUACUCCCUAGUGAUCGAUAGUGAACCAGUACCGUGAGGGAAAGGUGAAAAGCACCCCGGAAGGGGAGUGAAAGAGAUCCUGAAACCGUGUGCCUACAAAUAGUCAGAGCCCGUUAACGGGUGAUGGCGUGCCUUUUGUAGAAUGAACCGGCGAGUUACGAUCCCGUGCGAGGUUAAGCUGAAGAGGCGGAGCCGCAGCGAAAGCGAGUCUGAAUAGGGCGUUUAGUACGUGGUCGUAGACCCGAAACCAGGUGAUCUACCCAUGUCCAGGGUGAAGUUCAGGUAACACUGAAUGGAGGCCCGAACCCACGCACGUUGAAAAGUGCGGGGAUGAGGUGUGGGUAGCGGAGAAAUUCCAAUCGAACCUGGAGAUAGCUGGUUCUCCCCGAAAUAGCUUUAGGGCUAGCCUUAAGUGUAAGAGUCUUGGAGGUAGAGCACUGAUUGGACUAGGGGUCCUCAUCGGAUUACCGAAUUCAGUCAAACUCCGAAUGCCAAUGACUUAUCCUUAGGAGUCAGACUGCGAGUGAUAAGAUCCGUAGUCAAAAGGGAAACAGCCCAGACCGCCAGCUAAGGUCCCAAAGUGUGUAUUAAGUGGAAAAGGAUGUGGAGUUGCUUAGACAACUAGGAUGUUGGCUUAGAAGCAGCCACCAUUUAAAGAGUGCGUAAUAGCUCACUAGUCGAGUGACUCUGCGCCGAAAAUGUACCGGGGCUAAAUACACCACCGAAGCUGCGGAUUGAUACCGAAUGGUAUCAGUGGUAGGGGAGCGUUCUAAGGACAGUGAAGUCAGACCGGAAGGACUGGUGGAGUGCUUAGAAGUGAGAAUGCCGGUAUGAGUAGCGAAAGACGGGUGAGAAUCCCGUCCACCGAAUGCCUAAGGUUUCCUGAGGAAGGCUCGUCCGCUCAGGGUUAGUCAGGACCUAAGCCGAGGCCGACAGGCGUAGGCGAUGGACAACAGGUUGAUAUUCCUGUACCACCUCUUUAUCGUUUGAGCAAUGGAGGGACGCAGAAGGAUAGAAGAAGCGUGCGAUUGGUUGUGCACGUCCAAGCAGUUAGGCUGAUAAGUAGGCAAAUCCGCUUAUCGUAAAGGCUGAGCUGUGAUGGGGAAGCUCCUUAUGGAGCGAAGUCUUUGAUUCCCCGCUGCCAAGAAAAGCUUCUAGCGAGAUAAAAGGUGCCUGUACCGCAAACCGACACAGGUAGGCGAGGAGAGAAUCCUAAGGUGUGCGAGAGAACUCUGGUUAAGGAACUCGGCAAAAUGACCCCGUAACUUCGGGAGAAGGGGUGCUUUCUUAACGGAAAGCCGCAGUGAAUAGGCCCAAGCGACUGUUUAGCAAAAACACAGCUCUCUGCGAAGCCGUAAGGCGAAGUAUAGGGGGUGACACCUGCCCGGUGCUGGAAGGUUAAGGAGAGGGGUUAGCGUAAGCGAAGCUCUGAACUGAAGCCCCAGUAAACGGCGGCCGUAACUAUAACGGUCCUAAGGUAGCGAAAUUCCUUGUCGGGUAAGUUCCGACCCGCACGAAAGGUGUAACGAUUUGGGCACUGUCUCAACCAGAGACUCGGUGAAAUUAUAGUACCUGUGAAGAUGCAGGUUACCCGCGACAGGACGGAAAGACCCCGUGGAGCUUUACUGUAGCCUGAUAUUGAAUUUUGGUACAGUUUGUACAGGAUAGGCGGGAGCCAUUGAAACCGGAGCGCUAGCUUCGGUGGAGGCGCUGGUGGGAUACCGCCCUGACUGUAUUGAAAUUCUAACCUACGGGUCUUAUCGACCCGGGAGACAGUGUCAGGUGGGCAGUUUGACUGGGGCGGUCGCCUCCUAAAGUGUAACGGAGGCGCCCAAAGGUUCCCUCAGAAUGGUUGGAAAUCAUUCGUAGAGUGCAAAGGCAUAAGGGAGCUUGACUGCGAGACCUACAAGUCGAGCAGGGACGAAAGUCGGGCUUAGUGAUCCGGUGGUUCCGCAUGGAAGGGCCAUCGCUCAACGGAUAAAAGCUACCCCGGGGAUAACAGGCUUAUCUCCCCCAAGAGUCCACAUCGACGGGGAGGUUUGGCACCUCGAUGUCGGCUCAUCGCAUCCUGGGGCUGUAGUCGGUCCCAAGGGUUGGGCUGUUCGCCCAUUAAAGCGGUACGCGAGCUGGGUUCAGAACGUCGUGAGACAGUUCGGUCCCUAUCCGUCGUGGGCGUAGGAAAUUUGAGAGGAGCUGUCCUUAGUACGAGAGGACCGGGAUGGACGCACCGCUGGUGUACCAGUUGUUCUGCCAAGGGCAUAGCUGGGUAGCUAUGUGCGGAAGGGAUAAGUGCUGAAAGCAUCUAAGCAUGAAGCCCCCCUCAAGAUGAGAUUUCCCAUAGCGUAAGCUAGUAAGAUCCCUGAAAGAUGAUCAGGUUGAUAGGUUCGAGGUGGAAGCAUGGUGACAUGUGGAGCUGACGAAUACUAAUAGAUCGAGGACUUAACCAU